GGGAAUCUACCGUGCCCUGCGGAAUAGCUCCGGGAAACUGGAAUUAAUACCGCAUACGCCCUACGGGGGAAAGAUUUAUCGGGGUAUGAUGAGCCCGCGUUGGAUUAGCUAGUUGGUGGGGUAAAGGCCUACCAAGGCGACGAUCCAUAGCUGGUCUGAGAGGAUGAUCAGCCACAUUGGGACUGAGACACGGCCCAAACUCCUACGGGAGGCAGCAGUGGGGAAUAUUGGACAAUGGGCGCAAGCCUGAUCCAGCCAUGCCGCGUGAGUGAUGAAGGCCUUAGGGUUGUAAAGCUCUUUCACCGGAGAAGAUAAUGACGGUAUCCGGAGAAGAAGCCCCGGCUAACUUCGUGCCAGCAGCCGCGGUAAUACGAAGGGGGCUAGCGUUGUUCGGAAUUACUGGGCGUAAAGCGCACGUAGGCGGAUAUUUAAGUCAGGGGUGAAAUCCCAGAGCUCAACUCUGGAACUGCCUUUGAUACUGGGUAUCUUGAGUAUGGAAGAGGUAAGUGGAAUUCCGAGU
This 520-nucleotide ribosomal RNA is filed under the name uncultured bacterium. RNAcentral describes it as "bacterial SSU rRNA". It matches the Rfam family "Bacterial small subunit ribosomal RNA", at positions 120 to 674 of the family's 1533-position model. The record is from RNAcentral.